Molecule: ribosomal RNA, 440 nt
Filed under: uncultured bacterium
Lineage: Bacteria
Description: partial 16S ribosomal RNA
Rfam family: Bacterial small subunit ribosomal RNA
Source: RNAcentral
CCUACGGGUGGCAGCAGUGGGGAAUAUUGCACAAUGGGGGGAACCCUGAUGCAGCGACGCCGCGUGGGUGAGGAAGUACUUCGGUAUGUAAAGCCCUAUCAGCAGGGAAGAAAAUGACGGUACCUGACUAAGAAGCCCCGGCUAACUACGUGCCAGCAGCCGCGGUAAUACGUAGGGGGCAAGCGUUAUCCGGAUUUACUGGGUGGAAAGGGAGCGUAGACGGCGUGCCAAGUCUGAUGUGAAAGGCCGGGGCUCAACCCCGGGACGGCAUUGGAAACGGGCAUGCUGGAGUGCCGGAGGGGCAAGCGGAAUUCCUAGUGUAGCGGUGGACUGCGUCGCUAUUCGGCGGACCACCGGUGGCGAAGGCGGCUUGCUGGACGGUAACUGACGUUGCGGCUCGAAAGCGUGGGGAGCACACAGGAUUAGAUACCCUAGUAGUC